GUGCCAGCCGCUGCGGUAAUACGGAGGGGCUAGCGUUGUUCGGAAUUACUGGGCGUAAAGCGCACGUAGGCGGAUUGGAAAGUUGGAGGUGAAAUCCCAGGGCUCAACCUUGGAACUGCCUUCAAAACUCCCAGUCUUGAGGUCGAGAGAGGUGAGUGGAAUUCCGAGUGUAGAGGUGAAAUUCGUAGAUAUUCGGAGGAACACCAGUGGCGAAGGCGGCUCACUGGCUCGAUACUGACGCUGAGGUGCGAAAGCGUGGGAGCAAACAGGAUUAGAUACCCUGGUAGUCCACGCCGUAAACGAUGAAUGCCAGUCGUCGCAAGCAUG
RNAcentral lists this ribosomal RNA (327 nucleotides) under uncultured Pseudomonadota bacterium. RNAcentral's name for it is "bacterial SSU rRNA". It matches the Rfam family "Bacterial small subunit ribosomal RNA", at positions 505 to 833 of the family's 1533-position model. The record is from RNAcentral. Lineage: Bacteria; Pseudomonadati; Pseudomonadota.